RNAcentral lists this ribosomal RNA (1392 nucleotides) under Triticum aestivum (bread wheat). RNAcentral's name for it is "partial small subunit ribosomal RNA". Lineage: Eukaryota; Viridiplantae; Streptophyta; Magnoliopsida; Poales; Poaceae. The record is from RNAcentral.
AUGAAGGGUCGUAUUGAGGUGAUGCGUUCCCUCUGCAAGGUUUUGGACUCAAACUUCGAAGAUAAGUUAAAAGAACUGGGUCAAUGGGAGGAGCUUGACGAGGGAACGAUAGAAUGGAAAACGGUCGAGAGCAGAUUAGAGCGGACGAUACAGACGCUACUUGAGGUCAGAGAUGAGAGAUAUAAGCAGCUGAAAGAGUGUGGGACUAAGGUCAUACAACAGUGGAAAUCAAACGAUGCACCAGCAUCAAGAAUCGUUGAUUUUUCAGAAGCCUUAGCAUUUUAUGAUGCUGCAUCGGCAACAGAGUCAUCCACACAGCUCACUGGAAGCAAAGCUCUCAACAUCGAUUCAAUUAAGAAGAUAAAUAAGGAAAUUCUUUUGCAAAACUCACUAGAGCUGAAGAAAUUGAAAGGAAAGUUUGACAGGCUCAAGAAUAAGUUGUUUUCUCUGAUUCACAAGAACCAUCUUCAGUUGAGUCUGGCGGAUUUUGUUUUUGAAAUGAAAGUUGAGUCGAAUAAAGAUUAUUUUUCUGCAUGCAAGAAGUUGAAAGAGGCGAUCUCAAAUGUCAAAGCUCAGGUUGUUAAGAGGAAGGAAAUAAUUAUGAGAACAGAGAUGCUGAAAUUGGCUAUAGAUCAAUCAAUGCCCCUGGCAAAUAUCGAAGGGUUCAUCCAAGUGAUCAAAAGACAGGUGGAUGUGUUGGUUCAGGAUGAAGGGAAACCUUACAUUUAUGAUUGUGAAGAUAUAAAUUCAAUUCUCGAUAAGCUCCAAUCUAUUGCUUCUGAGAAGAAGGCUCCGCAAAAUUCAGGUUCCAAGCUGAGAAUAAAAGAACUUGUUCCGGAAAAGGGAAUGCAGGAGAAAGCUUCAGGAACCUCAAGAGCAAGUUUUAGUCUGUCUGCUGCUAAUGCGGGUAAGGAAUCUCGAGAGAAGCCCGCAGCAUGUCUGAGAUCAAGCUCAAGGCUCAAGGAGAAGCGAACUCAACCGGAACUGCGAGGAACAAUGAGUCUGUCUGUCCAAGUCCUUCCACAGCAGGAAUCAUCAAGCUCCCAAAGUGGAGAAGAAGAUCACUCAGGGGAAACCUCAAGAGCGAGUUCCAGUCUGUCUGCUGCUAAUGCGGUCAAGGAAUCUGGUGCUGCUGCUCAAAAGAAGCCCGCAGCUGGUCUGAGAUCAAGUUCGAGGCUCAAGGAGAAGCAAGCUCAACCAAAACUGCAAAGAAAGACGAGAGUGUCUGUCCAAGUCUUUCCACAGCAGGAAUCAUCAAGCUCCCAAAGUGGAGAAGAAGAUCACUCAGGGGAAAGCUCGCUGCCUGUUGAACCGCAAUUGAUAGCUUCAUUGCCACCACAUCCAAGGCAGCCCAGGACUCGAAGAGUGGAAAUACCACCUGGUGAAGGAUGA